GUUUAUUUGAUAGUGCCUUUACUUGGAUAACUGUUGGAAUCCGAGAGCUAAUACAUGCAAAUGGCUCUGACUAGGGGCAACCCUGGAAGGAGUGUAUUUAUUAGAUGUGAAACCAAUGCUGGGCAUUCCAAACUGGGCGUGCGGGGCAACUCGUGCGUUCGGGCUCAGACACCCAUGGUGAAUCAUGAUAACUCUGCGAAUCGCAUGACCUUGCGUCGGCGAUGAUUCAUUCAAAUUUCUGCCCUAUCAACUUGACGAUAGUAUAGAGGACUAUCGUGGUUUUAACGGGUGACGGAGCAUUAGGGUGCGAUGCCGGAGAGGGAGCCUGAGAAACGGCUACCACGUCUACGGGCGGCAGCAGGCGCGUAAAUUACCCAAUCCUGACACAGGGAGGUAGUGACAAUAAAUAACAAUACUCGCCCCGACAAGGGGAGAGUAAUUGGAAUGAGAACGAUUUAAAACAACUAACGAGUAGCAAUUAGAGGGCAGGUCUGGUGCCAGCAGCCGCGGUAAUUCCAGCUCUAAUAGCGUAUUUUAAAGUUGUUGCAGUUAAAACGCUCGUAGUUGGACCUCGGAGUCCGGGUGUGAUUCGGUCCGCGUCAAAGUGAGUACUGACACAUCGGCUCUACCAAUGAGUGAUCCCCUGGUGCGCUUCACUGGGUGCCAGGAGCUGGGGCGUCGCGUGGCGGGCAACCGUUGUGCGGCGUCUUCGGGGUUCUCAUUCGUUUACUUUGAAUAAAUUAGAGUGUUCAAAGCAGCCCGCUUGUACGGGCCUGAAUAAUCUAGCAUGGGAUAAUGGAAUAGGCUGUCGGCUUAUUUCGUUGGUUUCUGAGCCAGACAGAAUGAUUAAGAGGGACAGUUGGGGGUUUUCGUAUUCAAUUGUCAGAGGUGAAAUUCUAGGAUUUGUUGAAGACGAACUACUGCGAAAGCAUCAACCAAGGAUGUUUUCAUUAAUCAAGAACGAAAGUUAGGGGAUCGAAGACGAUCAGAUACCGUCGUAGUCUUAACCAUAAACGAUGCCGACCAGCAAUUCGGAGACGUUACAUUUGAAUGACUCCCCGAGCAGCCUGAGAGAAAUCGGAGUGUUUGGGUUCUGGGGGGAGUAUGAUCGCAAGGGGGAAACUUAAAGGAAUUGACGGAAGGGCACCACAAGGAGUGGAGCCUGCGGCUUAAUUUGACCCAACACGGGGAAGCUUACCAGGUCCAGACAAAGUAAGGAUUGACAGAUUGAGCGCUCUUUCUUGAUUCUUUGGGUGGUGGUGCAUGGCCGUUCUUAGUUGGUGGAGUGAUUUGUCUGGUUAAUUCCGAUAACGAACGAGACCUUAACCUGCUAAAUAGUCACUGGAAAC
Molecule: ribosomal RNA, 1349 nt
Filed under: metagenome
Description: SSU rRNA
Rfam family: Eukaryotic small subunit ribosomal RNA
Source: RNAcentral